This 75-nucleotide transfer RNA is filed under the name Amplisiphonia pacifica. RNAcentral describes it as "tRNA-Asn". It matches the Rfam family "tRNA". Rfam says of the family: Transfer RNA (tRNA) molecules are approximately 80 nucleotides in length. Their secondary structure includes four short double-helical elements and three loops (D, anti-codon, and T loops). Further hydrogen bonds mediate the characteristic L-shaped molecular structure. tRNAs have two regions of fundamental functional importance: the anti-codon, which is responsible for specific mRNA codon recognition, and the 3' end, to which the tRNAs corresponding amino acid is attached (by aminoacyl-tRNA synthetases). tRNAs cope with the degeneracy of the genetic code in two manners: having more than one tRNA (with a specific anti-codon) for a particular amino acid; and 'wobble' base-pairing, i.e. permitting non-standard base-pairing at the 3rd anti-codon position. The record is from RNAcentral. Lineage: Eukaryota; Rhodophyta; Florideophyceae; Ceramiales; Rhodomelaceae.
UUCUUGAUAGCUUAAACAGGUUCAAGCAUUUGGUUGUUAACCAAAAGAAUAUAGGUUCAAAUCCCAUUCAAGAAG